GGAUAUCUCAAAUUUGUAUUAUUAUUGUUGGAGAAAUAUAACAUGUUGAUGUUGAAACUUGUGGUUGAAAUGGUGAUGGACAGCUUUGUGCAACAACCUCUUGGCAAACAUGGUUUUGAUGAUGAUGAUAUUUGUUUUUUUUUAUUAUAAGUUAUUCAUAUGCCAUGUGCAUGGAUGAUAAUGAUUAAAUGAAUGAAUGAUUUGGAAUAUGAAUGAUAGUGUGGGAAUCUUUAAACAUGAAUGAAUGGAGAAUCUCAAUGUGAAAUGAAGAAAAUAUGAAAUGCAAAUUUAAAAUGUGACGAAUGUAAAAAUAUGAAAUAGUAAAAUAUGCGCAUGAAUGAAGCAGUAUGUAUGGAAUUUCUUUGGAUUAUGAAUGAAUGUUUACUGAAUUGUAUUGAA
This 399-nucleotide long non-coding RNA is filed under the name Lathyrus oleraceus (garden pea). Its description in RNAcentral is "Pisum sativum (pea) long non-coding RNA (PSAT_LNC005662)". The record is from RNAcentral. Lineage: Eukaryota; Viridiplantae; Streptophyta; Magnoliopsida; Fabales; Fabaceae.